CGACAACAAAGUGAACCACGAACUGCAAGUCUCCACAAUGAUUCUUCACUCAAUUUCUCCAUCAUCCUAUGGAAUACGUAUGGAAGAAAUCGAACAUCAUCAGCAGCUGCACGGACCAUCAGCUCAGAUAAUGGUCGGUAGGUCCAAAACUGAGGAUCCUCCUUCAGAAGGGAACAGACUUCUUUUUUCUCCACGUAUGAUAUAACUGCAAUCACAUAAAACAAUACAAAGUGAAGUGUAUUACCUAGGAUUCCAUAGAAAGCUCUUUCUAGAGAUGAUCAUCAUGAAAG
This 290-nucleotide unclassified non-coding RNA is filed under the name Hevea brasiliensis (rubber tree). The record is from RNAcentral. Lineage: Eukaryota; Viridiplantae; Streptophyta; Magnoliopsida; Malpighiales; Euphorbiaceae.